CUGGCCGACUCCGCACUCGUCCGUUCGUGGCCCACCGUGGUGGUCACCAAAUUGAGGGCUUCCUGGAAGGACCUCCUCACGGUACCCAUCCACUGGGUCAUGUGGGUCUGAGCCACCGUGAGUUUAUCUCCCAGCUGUCUCUCCCUCCCUCUCUGGAAGGCAACACUGAUCCAGGAUCUCACUCUGUUGCCCAGGCUGGACUGCAGUGGCAUGAUCACAGCUCACUGCAGCCUUGGCCUCCCAGGCUCAAGCGAUCCUCCCAUCUCAGCCUCCUGAGUAGCUAGGACUACAGGUGGAGCAACAGCAUCAGUCAGAAGGCAGCGGAUGGCACAGGGCUUCCGCGUAAGGCCUGCAUCGCCUGAGUCAUGGUUUUCUCAUCUUGUAUGAGGCCCACCCCCUUCAAAACGUUGUGACAAAAAAAACAACUGAGAUAAUUUGUGCCGCUGGCACAUAGUUAACACUCAAUAAGGCCGGGCACAGUGGCUUACACCUCUAAUCCCAGCACUUUGGGAGGCUGAGGCAGGUGGAUCACUUGAGGCCAGGAGUUCGAUACCAGCCUGACCAACAUGGUGAAACCCCAUCUCAACUAAAAAUACAAAAAUUAGCCAGGCAUGGUGGUGUGCACCUGUAGUCCCAGCUACUUGGGAGCCUGAGGCAGGAGCAUCUCUUGAACCCGGGAGGUGGAGGUUGCAGUGAGCGGAGAUCGCACCACUGCACUCCAGCCUGGGUGACAGAACAAGACUCUGUCUCAAAACAACAACAACAACAAAAUAAUAAAUGGUGACCACAAGGGAUGAUCGUUUUUCUAUUAUAAUUCCUAUCAUCUCACUGUUCAAAUGAAUCACAGGACCCUAGACAGUCAGAAUCAGGACACGAGCAGGGACCAACCUAGGCCAACCUUCCCACUAAACUGAAGAAACAGGCCCAGACCGAGGGCUGCCCUAAGGCCUCACAGUCCAUCUGCAGCAGGCGCCCUCUCUGAUAUCUCCUAGGAAAUGUGCACGAUCUGAACUUUGACAGCGUCUGCAACCUCACAUAUUACCUGUUUCCCAGCUUCUUUCUACCCUGAACAAACUGGACAGAUGUUAAUCCUGGAAUGUGCCAUGACAUCUCUGGUUCAGCCUUUUGCAUAUGCUGUUCCCUCUGGCUAAGACACCUUUCCACCCCUUCCUCACCUGGCCAGCAUCUAGUCCACCACAGCUCAGCUUAGAUACUCCCGCCUCUGAGACACCUCCCCUGUUUCCUUAUAUCCAUGGGGGCAGGGGGCACCUCUGGGGUCCCACCCUGCCUAUGUAACCCCUACCGAAUCACACAGUUUACCUGGCC
Molecule: long non-coding RNA, 1326 nt
Organism: Gorilla gorilla gorilla (western lowland gorilla)
Lineage: Eukaryota; Metazoa; Chordata; Mammalia; Primates; Hominidae
Exons: 4
Source: RefSeq, a predicted model, not a curated record